GUUACCUGACAUGUCAGGUGGGCAAACAGGAGGGGCGGAGUUGAUUGAACACCACUCAGAGCCCAUCCCUCCCUGAGUUUCAGGAAAAAGUCCCGGGGCUGGACCAUGUCUCUGAGCUCCCUCAGCCUCGGGCCUGGCCUUACAGGCUGACUCUACAAACCACGCUUCACACAUCAUCAAAGAAGGAAUGAGUGCUCUGGGGACCAAGGCCUUUUCUUUUUAUCUGUUGGCUUUUGAUGGAAGAAGUUAUUUUUUCCUGAAAUUUUCCAUUCCUCACUUGGUUUUCAUAUACCUGACUGGCCAGAGCUGUAUCACUUCGUCACCCAAACUUCCAUAUGCUACCAAAGUAAGCAAGAUGCUGUUGACUGGUUUACAGCUCAGCCUCUGAGGAUGGGACUGUUCUAGGUGGGAAAUAAUGGUCUGGAUUCUCUUGCUAAGGAAGAAGACAGAAACCACUUUGGUGUGAGGAGUUCGGUCCAAAUCCAAUAUUGAUGGGUCAUCGAGUGGAGAACAACUAUUAAAAACUGGAAGUGUGAAGACCACCUGGCCUGAGGUGUGGCCACUGUAAAGAGGAUGGGGCAGCCUUGCCACUGGAAACGAUGUGAGAACACAGAGAGUAAGAAACAAGUGGGCUCUCUGGCACAAAGCAGAGAUUCAUGUCCAGCUUGCAGGCAGAAAGGCGGACUUGAGUCAGAGGCAUCGUACUGGUUUCUCUGCUUGUCCUUCCCCUGCCCCCACGCCUACUCAGAAGGGAAGUUACCCAGCCCACCUCUGUGUGCAUCUGCGGCAGCAGGGACCUGGAAUCUGUGGGCUGCAACUUGGCUUCAGGUUGACUGCGUCCUGUGGAGAUGGGGGAAGAGAAUGUCAUCAAUGAUGGUGCCGCUAGCUGGAUUUUAACAAGGCUGCCCCAGUAAAGAUUUUGAGACGGAGCUGCUCACCCUUCCAUAAUUCAUGGCUCCCCGAUGCAGGACCCUCUGUGGGAGCGGACUGGAGCGCGUGGAGGCUAACACUGCAGAAACGCCUGCCCGGAUGUGUGCAAAGGGACAGCCGGCGCCUUCCCGGCCAGGUACACCAGGGAUGGCCUCGGUUGCCUGUGGCCCCUCACGCUGCCAGGUCUGGCCACCACGUGCCGGCAAUGCCUUCAGCAGCGGCCAUCACCCCCUGUCCAUCACUGGUCUUUACAGCGUGGGGGCUCCAGAGAUGCGUCAGCGUGUGCGUGGCCAGCCCGUGCCGCUCUCUCUGAGGGGGGAUUCUUGCUCACUGGCGUCCGGGGAGACAGGAAAGCAGCAGGAGCAGCAGUAAGUGUGGAUAACGCUGGAGCCGGGCCUCUCUUGACAGCAUCUCCGGGAAGCCAGAUCAGCACUUGAAGGAGAAACUUCCUACAGACUCAGCGUUUGUGGCCCGGCAAAUAAAAUGCCAUCCCUACAAUGCUGGCACCCUGUCCCUGCAGUGGGACGGCGCUGUGAGUCCAUGUCGCGACUUUCUCCUACUAGUCCUGCUGCAGUCAGCUACACCUCAGCGUAGGCCCCAAUCCCUCCUGCCACAUGAGGGCACGGCGGGGAGACGGUGUCUGGGAGCAGGAGACAGCCCGUCUCACCACGUCUGCUGUGCCUUGAGCUUGAACUUCUCACCUUCCCGACCAGGAGAAGUAGUUGUUAUUUACCAGCAACCUAAUCUGCAGGAUUGGUUCCAGCCCCCCAGUAGACAAAAGCAAUAUCUAAACACCCUGGAACAGGACAGAGGUUUGAGGAAGAAGAAAUCAUAACGUAUCUACUAAGAAGUAUCUACACAUCCAUCACCAGAUCGACUCUGUGAGAUGGUACCAUGGGAGUAUUUCUUAAGUGGAGGGAUGGAUGGCUAGAUGCAUGCACAGACCAAAUCUCACAGAGCCCACAGCAAUGAUGGUGACACAGCCCUGCUCUCCAUACGUGCAGCUGGAGCGCCUGGUCAUUUAAUCACAUCCUGUUCAUGGUCAUGGAAUGUGCCGUCAGGGACACUGAGCUCAGGGCCACGCCUACGUGAGAGGCAGAUGCGAGUGACACUGGCGGCAGUGGAAGGACCUUACGGUGAUAUUCUUGCACCUGCUGUUUAACUCAAUAGAUAUUUUUUAACACCCGUCUGUGUGAGGAACCAGGUAGGGCUUGUCCACGUGAUGGCAAAGGGGCCUCCUAUUUGGAUCUGCAGAAAGAUGGGAAGGGAGCCCCACUAAGAAAGUUGAGUGCUGGGACCCCAGAGCUGAGCAUGGUGGCCGGGUAAGAGCCCUUCUGCUUGAGCUCUAUUCUUCCACCUGUGCUAAUGAAUGAAAGCAUUUCCCUAGAAAGUUAUAGAGGGACCUUUACUGUGGCUUAUGCAUCAAGCUGGCGUUAGACACAGAGAAUGUUGCACGAGCUUUAUAAGGUCAUGGAAAAAAAGACUUAAUCCAAGCAGUUUGUGGAUUUGAGACUUGAGUUGGUUUUGGAAAUGGAAACUCGCCUUUGGCCCACACAUGAUGAAAGUGUUUGCCUAUUGAACGCGAAAUACUAUCUUCGUGCAAAUUAUUUAUACAUAUGCAGCAGAAUCCUGGCAUCAUCUCGAUGCAUUUGCUCAGUCACUUAUUACCUAGAUCUUCCCAAGUUCUCACAAAACUACACACGUCUGAUAGAAAUUGCUUCGUGUGGAAGGGCAUCAAUCACUCCCACGGCAAGAGGAAUACGCUGUGCAACCAGUGGAAACAUUAAAAGGAUAUUGACUACGACUGUGAUAGAGAACGAUACCUUGAGUCCUCCCAGCUUUUUAUUCCCCAAACAGGUAACGUAAAUUCAGGUGGCGCCUGAUGCCUCACACUGUGGACUGUGGAUUUAGGAGCUGAGAGAGGGAGAGCUUUGGUCUCCUACACAAAGUCGUGUUUUUCCAAACUUGACGCACAGGUUCUGCCUCUGCGCUACAUGGAUAUGGCAGUGCUGUGUCCACCAGCGAGUCCGCCCUUCUGGCCUCCCUCCUCCCUCUUUGCUUCUAGUGUCCCUCGAGUGUUGGUUACUCCUUCUCUCUGAGUGUCCUCCAGAGUCAAGUGUCUCAAAGGCCUUCGGUGUUCCUAGGCAUCAUGAGAUUCUUCUCGUGUUUCCUGAUCUGUCUCCUGAGAUUUAUUUGCAAGGGUGUGGGAAAAAAGUCCUCAUUUGCCACCUUAAUGAAAGACGCUUCUCUCUAGAAAACCUUACAAGGAAAAACCACAUUAAAUGAAAGCAGAACCAGGGUCAUGUAAACACAUUUUACAAUGGGAGGAAAUGAACUAUGUAAAUCAGAUGCACCCGUAAAUUUGAAAUGGGCGCUAAAGUCAAGCUUCCAAGAUAGUUGACCUGAUUUUGCUCUACCUGGAAUAAAUGUCAUCUGAAUUCACCUAGAAAAUAACAAAAAUGUGUCAGUCAGCGUAUAGAUCCUAAUUCCGGACUCUAAUUAGAGCAGAGGAAGGGGUUCCGGAAGCGAUGAGGGCAGCACUUCGGCGCGCAGGAUUUGGCACAACGGUAAGGGCCCCAAGGAAACAUCCUGCCCCAGAUCACAGAUAGUGGGGAACAUCCCUGCUCUCCCCCAGGAAUACUCACUUGGUAGCUCAAAUAUCUAAUAAUGGUGAAAACUGCAAAGUGCGUAUGUGAGGGUUGACUGGCAUUGGGCGCCUUUGGGGCACUUGAUGAGGUUUCCAAGGAAUCAGGUGCACCAGCGUGCACCCUCGGGAAGGGUGGGGCUGCCGCCACCAGCCAGGGGAGCCUGCUGACACCAGCAGGGACUCAGCUGCGAGGAGACACGGUCCCCAAGUCAUCGUGUGGAGACUUUCAAGUGACCAUUUUUAAGGGUUUUAAGUAAAAACCCUCCCCUGAAAAUGAAAUGGGAAAAUGAUGGUGGGGCUUUGUAAG
Long non-coding RNA from Talpa occidentalis (Iberian mole), 3884 nucleotides. RefSeq lists it as uncharacterized. The record is from RefSeq and is a predicted model, not a curated record. Lineage: Eukaryota; Metazoa; Chordata; Mammalia; Eulipotyphla; Talpidae. The transcript has 5 exons.